GAAACAUCUGAUUAGGGAGUACUAAUUUGGAUUACUUUGCAAGAUUAGUUAUAAUGUUACUUUGCAAGAUUAGGGAGUACUAAUUUGGAUUACUUUGCAAGAUUAGUUAUAAUGUUAUUUGAACUGCAUAAUUUUGAGUAAAAUGGGUAAUUAGUGAGUGAUAGAGAUGUUUGGAAAAUCCUAAGCUCACUUAAAACGUUUCUAUCAACAGGCAAGUUGUUCCAGCUUCGGCCAAUGUGGUGCAAAUGUCGAUUCAGACUCCAGUCCAAGUAAUGUAAAAGUGCUAAUGGGGAUAGCAGAGGACAUGCUGAAGCAGAAAAGUGUAGAGUCUGUCCUCUUCAGUGGUAAGAAGAUGGGAGAGCAGAGCAACUUGGAGAAACUCGACUGGUUUGCCGACCAACUUGUGCUAGAGCAUCAGAAGAGGAGUUGCCGGAUAGCUCCCACUGUCGCGUUCAAGAAACCAACAAGCAGGCCUUAAGCAACUUCCGGAAAUUCAAAACACUCAUCCAUUAAAGCAAAAUUAAACGGUAAAUGGUAAGAGAAAAAACAAUGUAAAGUGAUAUACUAGUAUAUAGCAACUUUCACAUUUUGAGAAGGAUAGGAGAAGUGGGGUCUGAGUUUGUGUUGUGAAAAAAGGUUGUGUGUGGGAUUCUUUGCCGGCCAGCGGCGGAGCACGGUGGAAGCCGCCACACCACGGUGGUCUUUGAAAGUUGUACUACCUUUUUCUCUUUUUUAAUUGGAUGAUGUAAUGAGUACUCCUAUUCUAUCCUAAGUUCUUGGUGGUUUAUCUUUUUGAA
Salvia hispanica is the source of this 797-nucleotide non-coding RNA. NCBI's taxonomy places the organism in Eukaryota, Viridiplantae, Streptophyta, Magnoliopsida, Lamiales, Lamiaceae. The record is from RefSeq and is a predicted model, not a curated record.